RNAcentral lists this ribosomal RNA (400 nucleotides) under uncultured bacterium. RNAcentral describes it as "bacterial SSU rRNA". It matches the Rfam family "Bacterial small subunit ribosomal RNA", at positions 355 to 746 of the family's 1533-position model. The record is from RNAcentral.
UGGGGAAUUUUGCACAAUGGGGGAAACCCUGAUGCAGCAACGCCGCGUGAGUGAAGAAGGCCCUUGGGUUGUAAAGCUCUUUCGGCUAGGAAGAGGGUUGUUAUGGUUAAUACCUGUAGCAGCUGACGGUACUAGAAGAAGAAGCACCGGCUAACUCCGUGCCAGCAGCCGCGGUAAUACGGAGGGUGCAAGCGUUGUUCGGAAUGACUGGGCGUAAAGGGCGCGUAGGUGGACGUUUAAGUUAGAUGUGAAAUCCCAGGGCUUAACCCUGGAGCUGCAUCUAAUACUGGAUGUCUUGAAUGUUCGAGAGGUUGGUGGAAUUCCAGGUGUAGGAGUGAAAUCCGUAGAUAUCUGGAGGAACAUCGGAGGCGAAGGCGGCCAACUGGCGAAACAUUGACAC